RNAcentral lists this ribosomal RNA (429 nucleotides) under uncultured bacterium. Its description in RNAcentral is "bacterial SSU rRNA". It matches the Rfam family "Bacterial small subunit ribosomal RNA", at positions 355 to 776 of the family's 1533-position model. The record is from RNAcentral.
UGGGGAAUAUUGGACAAUGGGGGCAACCCUGAUCCAGCGAUGCCGCGUGUGUGAAGAAGGCCUACGGGUUGUAAAGCACUUUCGGUGGGGAGGAGGACUUGAUGGUUAAGAGCUGUUGAGUUGGACGUUACCCACAUAAGAAGCACCGGCUAACUCCGUGCCAGCAGCCGCGGUAAUACGGAGGGUGCAAGCGUUAAUCGGAAUUACUGGGCGUAAAGGGUUCGUAGGCGGUGAUAUAAGUUAAGUGUGAAAGACCUGGGCUUAACCUGGGGCAGUCACUUAAGACUGUAUAACUGGAGUAUGGGAGAGGGUAGUGGAAUUUCCGGUGUAGCGGUGAAAUGCGUAGAGAUCGGAAGGAACACCAGUGGCGAAGGCGGCUACCUGGCCCAAUACUGACGCUGAGGAACGAAAGCGUGGGGAGCAAACAGG